CAGCAGCCGCGGUAAUACGAAGGGUGCAAGCGUUACUCGGAAUUACUGGGCGUAAAGCGUGCGUAGGUGGUGGUUUAAGUCCGUCGUGAAAGCCCUGGGCUCAACCUGGGAAUUGCAGUGGAUACUGGAUCACUAGAGUGUGGUAGAGGAUAGUGGAAUUUCCGGUGUAGCAGUGAAAUGCGUAGAGAUCGGAAGGAACAUCUGUGGCGAAGGCGACUAUCUGGGCCAACACUGACACUGAGGCACGAAAGCGUGGGGAGCAAACAGGAUUAGAUACCCCCGUAGUCCCUGUCUCUUAUAC
This 301-nucleotide ribosomal RNA is filed under the name uncultured bacterium. RNAcentral's name for it is "partial 16S ribosomal RNA". It matches the Rfam family "Bacterial small subunit ribosomal RNA", at positions 509 to 807 of the family's 1533-position model. The record is from RNAcentral.